GAAGGCAGUUGAUCAGGCGCUCUAUACCUUCUGGGUGUUGUGUAUCCUACUGGAGACUGUGUCAAGAAAGAUGUUGCCUCCGCCUUAUGGUGUUUUCAUAGGGCAUCAGAGAAGGCUUUCAGUUAGCUUAGGUUGAUCCGAGGGUUGAUAUGCUUUGGGAUUGGAUAUGCAUCUGUGAAUGGAACUUCAAGGUUCAAAGAAUGUUGAUAUUAACUUAGCUGCACGCCUGCUAUAUCCAGAAGCCACCACCUUUUCGGUCAACAAGCAGAGUCGACUCAGGGAUCCUUAUAGAAGCUGAAGCCACCGCGAGCACUGUAGUAGUGAACACUGAUCUUUGGUAAUGCCAUCUCCUACCCGUUUGGUAAAGGCUCAGGCUCGAGCUAUCUGCUUCUGGAGAUAAUGGAGUACCUGAAGUGGUAGCUGAUCCUCUAGUUUAAGUUUCUAAGACAUAUAAGGAGCUCGGAAUAUGUGUUGUGCAAAAGUGUGCUAAGUUUUGCCGACAAGCUAUCUUAGACCUGCAGUACCUAUUCAAUUUUCUGUCGAGGAAGCGGUCAACGAGCCAACUGCUAUCAUCCCAGAGGUUGCUGAUGACCUUAACCUGGAUUAAGUUGUUACAAGCGUGGAAGCUAUUCAAUGCAAGCAUGUGGACGCAAACCUGCUUGCUUAGUUCAUUCCUUUCUCGGUCAUUUUUUUGCCAUUGUAACUGUAAUAACUUCUAUAUGUGAUUGCAACUCAUGGAAUGACCUGUUUUAGUAAUCCCAGUUUCUUUUGACGGGUUGUUUUAGUAAUCCCAGUUUGUGGUGUUGUGCUAAUUGCUAAAAAUUCGGGAAUACUUCUCUCAUUACUGCUGUAGCCAUUUGGAUUAUAAAAAUUCACACUUUCUUU
This is an RNA transcript of Fragaria vesca subsp. vesca, 885 nucleotides long. RefSeq lists it as uncharacterized. Lineage: Eukaryota; Viridiplantae; Streptophyta; Magnoliopsida; Rosales; Rosaceae. The record is from RefSeq and is a predicted model, not a curated record. The transcript has 4 exons.